UUGGAUUUAAACCCCAAAAAUAAAGUUUACCCUUUUUUUGAA
RNAcentral lists this transfer RNA (42 nucleotides) under Anoplophora glabripennis (Asian longhorned beetle). RNAcentral describes it as "partial tRNA-Leu". The record is from RNAcentral. Lineage: Eukaryota; Metazoa; Arthropoda; Insecta; Coleoptera; Cerambycidae.